AGUUACAUCGGACUGUGACACUUACUGUUUACAGGAGACUAUAAAACCUUUGCCCAGUCGUCACUUGGGGCCCGCCUGCAGCCAGGCCGUCAUUAAAACAGCAUGUUGCUCCACACCGCCUCGUGUUGUCUGUUGGCGUGCUCUCAGGGUGGAAACGAUACAAGAACGUUACACUUACAGGCUUUAGUUUGUAUUAUUCUCAUAGAAGACUUCCUCAUAAUCCGAUUUAAGAAAUGAGAGUUUCCCUGCACAAGCUCUUGCUUUGCCUGAUGCCAUCCAUGUAAGACGUGACUUGCUCCUCCUUGCCUUCUACCAUGAUUGUGAGACUUCCCCAGCCACGUGGAACCAUUAUGCUCCAAGACACUGAAUCUGAAAGGAUGCAUCCAGUUUUGCCAAGUGGUUUCACUACCAAGGCCAGUCUCCAUCUAUGAUAGACCCAAGGAAGGUCAUUUACAACUAGAAUCUAGUCAUUUAGGAGCUUGUGUGCUCCCUGGAUGGGCCAUCUGCACUGGUGUGAGGUUUAUCUCAUUGAAGGGAAAAACAAAGGAAUCUUCUUGAAUAUCAGCACCAGGAAGAGCAGUACAAACUGGAGAAGCUGGGGUAUGUAGGCAAUGGCUUCA
RNAcentral lists this long non-coding RNA (620 nucleotides) under Pan troglodytes (chimpanzee). RNAcentral's name for it is "lincRNA". The record is from RNAcentral. Lineage: Eukaryota; Metazoa; Chordata; Mammalia; Primates; Hominidae.